CGUUGCAGCAAACUUUUGCUAUGUCUAAUACCAUUUAGACAAUCUACACACCAAUUCAUGACAAUCUUCAUUCAUACCUACUUCCAACAUAUGAACGAUUGUGGACAAUUUGAACAAUUCGAUUAUUCUUAAUAAACUCAAUUAUUUUGGAAGUCAAAACAUGCAAAAUGAAACAAUAGUUAAACAAUUAGCAUAAGACAGUAACAUUACUCAUAAAUAAUACUCUUUUAUUUAAUCAUCAAAUGUUAAUUACAUUUAUCUAUUACACGUUUCUACUACUAUCUAAUCUAUACUAAUAUCAUCCUUCAACCCAAUACUCCUAGCAUGCUGCAAGUGCUUAACCCUACUCAGUCCCUUCGUAAGCGGAUCUGCUGGGUUAUCUUCUGAUGAUAUCCUCUUCACUACGAGUUGUCCUUCUUCUACACGAUGUCUAAUAAAGUGAUAUUUUCUGUCGAUAUGUCUAGAUCUACCAUGAUCCCUCGGUUCCUUGGUCAAGGCAACCGCUCCUUCAUUAUCACAGAAAAUCUCCAUGGGCUCCUUUAUGGCAGGUACAACUCCAAGAUCACCGAUGAAGUUCUUCAACCAUAUUGCCUCCUUCGACGCUUCGCUCGCUGCAAUGUACUCUGAUUCGCACGUUGAAUCAGCUACGGUUUCCUGCUUGGAACUUUUCCAAGUCACUGCUCCUCCAUUCAGGGUAAAGACCCAGCCCGACUGCGAACGGUAGUUGUCCCUGUCGGUCUGAAAGCUGGCGUCACUAUACCCUCGCACCUUCAAGUCAUCACUCCCUCCGAGGACUAAGAACCAUUCCUUCGUCCUCCGAAGGUACUUAAGGAUAUUCUUCACCGCAAUCCAAUGGGCUUUGCCAGGAUUCCCUUGAUAUCUGCUAACCAUGCUCAAAGCAAAGGCUACAUCAGGGCGAGUACAAGUCAUAGCGUACAUGAUUGAGCCAACUGCGGAAGCGUAUGGUACUCGGCUCAUUUCUGCUAUCUCAGCUUCGGUACUCGGACUUUGAGUCUUACUCAAUUUGGCAUUACUUUGUAUCGGUAAUUCUCCCUUCUUUGAGUUUUCCAUACUAAAACGUUUUAGUACCUUCUCUAAGUAAGUAUUCUGACUAAGUCCAAUUAGUCUCUUACUUCUUUCUCUUACUAUCCUUAUUCCCAAAAUGUAAGAAGCCUCUCCGAGGUCCUUCAUAGCGAAGCACUUCCCGAGCCAGGACUUAACCUCCUGCAGAGUCGGGAUGUCAUUUCCUAUGAGUAAUAUGUCAUCGACAUAUAGAACGAGGAAGCUUACUAUACUCCCACUGGCUUUGACAUAUACACAAGAUUCGUCUUCGCUUCGUACAAAUCCAAACUCUUUGACUUUCUCAUCGAAGCAAAGAUUCCAUCUGCGAGACGCUUGCUUAAGUCCAUAAAUGGACUUCUCAAGCUUACACACUCUAUUCGGAUGCUUCGGAUCCACAAACCCCUCUGGCUGAGCCAUGUAAACAUCCUCAGCCAACUUUCCGUUAAGGAAAGCGGUCUUGACAUCCAUUUGCCAAAUCUCAUAAUCAUGAAAUGCGGCAAUUGCUAGCAUCACUCUAAUAGAUUUAAUCUUCGCAACUGGUGAGAAGGUCUCAUCAUAGUCAACUCCGGGAGUUUGAGUAAAGCCCUUCGCAACCAAUCGCGCUUUAUAUGUGUGUACGUUUCCAUCCACGUCGGUCUUCUUCUUGAAGAUCCAUUUGCACCCAACGGUCUUACGUCCGGGCACAUAAUCAACCAAAUUCCAAACUUGGUUAUCAUACAUGGAUUGGAUCUCGCUAUCCAUUGCCUCUUUCCAUUUUGCAGACUCCGGGCCUGCCAUGGCUUCCUUAUAGCUAUUAGGUUCAUCAAGAUUUAUUAGUGUACCAUCACUAAUAUACGUGUCCCCUUCGGUAGUAAUAUGAAAACCAUAAAACUGGGGUUGAACUCUAACUCUAUCGGAACGUCUAAGAGGUAAGGAUUCGUCAAUCGGUUCAACCGGAGUUUCCUCCUCGGGUUGAGUGCCAGCGGUAGAGGUUCCUUCAUCUAUCGACUCUUGAAUCUCUUCAAGCUCGAUUUGCCUCCCACUGUCUCCUUGGCUUAUGAGUUCUCGCUCUCGGAAAACUCCUCUCCUCGCAACGAAGACAACAUUGUCCUUCGGUCUAUAGAAGAGAUAUCCAAAGGAUGUCUGCGGGUAGCCGAUGAAAAUACAUCGCUCACUUCGAGGUUCAAGCUUGUCGUGAGUAUCUCGUCUUACGAAAGCCUCGCAACCCCAAACCUUGAUAUGUGCCAACGAGGGAGCUUUCCCUGUCCACAUCUCGUGAGGUGUUUUGGCAACCUUCUUAGUAGGGACUCGGUUAAGGAUAUGGGCGGCAGUCUCUAAGGCAUACCCCCAAAAAGAGAUAGGUAGUGAAGCACGACUCAUCAUAGAGCGAACCAUAUCCAAUAAGGUUCGAUUACGCCUUUCUGCCACACCAUUCAACUGCGGUGUCCUAGGAGGCGUCAAUUGCGAAACUAUUCCACACUCCUUGAGAUAAUCGUGGAAUUCAAGACUUAGGUACUCUCCUCCUCGAUCGGAUCGAAGCAUCUUGAUUUUCCUGCCCAAUUGAUUCUCCACUUCAUUCUUGAACUCUUUGAACUUUUCAAAGGUUUCUGACUUUUGCUUGAUUAAGUAGAUAUACCCAUAUCUACUAUAGUCAUCGGUAAAAGUCACAUAGAAGCGGUUCCCAUCCUUCGUGGUUGAUCUAAACGGUCCACAUACAUCGGUAUGUAUUAGGUCCAAUAGACCCUCGCCCCUUUCACAUGUACUCGUGAAGGGUGACUUAGUCAUCUUUCCAAGCAAACAAGACUCGCAUGUGUCAUCUUCCCUAAGGUCGAAUGACUCCAACACUCCAUCCUUUUGGAGUUGGGCUAUGCGUUUCUUGUUGACAUGUCCAAGACGACAAUGCCACAAGGAUGCUUUAUCCAUACUAGUGGAAGAAUCAAUAUUCAAAACAUCAUUUCCUAAGUUAUCAACAAUCAUAACGGUUUCAUAUAUUCCAUUACAUGGUAUAGCUUCAAAGUAAAAGACACCAUUUAGAUAAGCCAAAAUAGAACCAUUCUCAUUAUUAAAAGAAAAUCUAAAUCCUUGUCUAUAUAAACCAUGAAAUGAAAUGAUGUUUCUUGCCAUUUCUGGCGAAUAGCAACAAUUGUUCAAAUCUAAAACUAAACUAUUCCUAAGCACUAAGGAAUACACUCCAAUCUUGGUCACAGGCGACGAUCUUCUGUUCCCCAUGAUUAGAUUGAUCCUUCCUUGCUCCACAUCCCUACUUCUUCUUAGUCCCUGCACAUUAGAACAAAUGUGAUAACCACAACCGGUAUCAAGAACCCAAGAAAUAGCAUGAUUAGAAUCGUUAGAUUUGAUUGUAUAUAUACCUGCGAAAGAUGGCUUGAUCUUUCCUUCUUUGAUUGCUUGCAGGUAAUCCGGGCAGCUUCUCUUCCAAUGUCCUAUCUUGUGGCAGUGGUGGCACUCUGCCUCCUUCGGGUUAGAGCAGGGCUUGGCGGGAUCAACUUUGGUCCCACUAGAAGAGGCACCAUCUCGGGCUUUCACCUUGCGAUAGUUCUUCGAUGAAGCUUUCCUCUUCUUUCCCUUCCCUUGUCCAAUAGCCAAGACAGGAGCAGCGGGCGGAUUGGGAGUAGGUGCAACAGACUUGUCUUUGAAGUUGCUCUCAGCAACCCUCAAGAGACCUUGGAGCUUGCUUAGGGUGACCUCUUCUUUGUUCAUGUGGUAGGUCAUCCUAAAUUGGUUGUACAUCGGAGGCAAAGAGUGAAGCACCAUGUCGAUCGCCAAGUCUUCACCGAAGUCAACAUUUAACUUGCGGAGGCGGUCAACAUACCUUUGCAUCUUUUGCAAGUGCACGGUAAGAGAUUCUCCAUGACCCAUCUUCGCGGAAAUCAUGUUAGUGAAAAUCUCGUACCUCUCUUGUCUCGCGUUUUGGUGGUACCUCUCCAAUAAGUCUUGAUGCAUCUCGUACGGGUACAUGUCCUCGUAGGACUUUUGGAAUUCGGAGUUCAUGGUGGCGAUCAUGAUGCAAUGUACCUUCGUUGCAUCUCGCUCAUGAGUUUCAAAGGCGGUGAUUUCGGCGGGAGUAGCAAUUUCGGGGUUGAUUUUCUCGAGCUUCUCAUCGAGGACAUACUCCUUAUCCUCAUAGCGAGCAAUGGUGCGAAUGUAUCUUAUCCAUUCGCUAAAGUUCGUUCCAUCGAAGGUGACCUUUUGGCAAAGGCUCAUCAACGUGAAAGAACUAGCAGCAGCGUUGUUUGCGUUCGACAUCUACAAUUAGAAAAGGACAAAGAUAGAUUAGAAUAAGAAUCCCUAAUUAUCACCCAAUAAGAAAAUUAGGGCUAGGAUCCAACAAUAACAUUUACAUACUAGAAAAGGGAUGCCGUAAUCUAACAUGCAAAUAAAUUGAAGGUAAGUGAAUGACGAUUCACUAAUUCUCCAUCACAAAACUUAAACUAUUAGUCCUAAGUGUUUUUGAGAAUUCCUAGGUUCGGAUGAGAUUCAUUGAAACUAUUCAAUGGCAUGUUUAAAUCUCGAUAUGCCCCUCUUGUUUGUGACUGGGAUGCCGAGGAUCACAAAGCGGGUGUGAAUUACCAUGCAAAUUCACAUGGUGCCUUCAUUGUAACAAUCACCUAUUCGAUGUGCCGGUAAACCACACACGCUCCAUCGAACUAUGAUAAACAAUGAAUCACCCUUUGCCACCUUCGCUUAGAACCAAUUAGUGUGCCGGUAAACCACACACGCUCCACUAACAUCUUAGCAAGGUGCAAAGUGUAAUUUCAUGGGAUUGCAUCAAUUCACUUUUCCUAAAGUAACUAGGAUUGGGAAAUUUUAAAAAAAUGUGUAGUUACUUUAUAUUUCUUAUUAUACUUUUAAUGAGAGGAUGAGGUUGCCCUAUCCUACCCGUUCGGCUAACGACCCUCCACCAAUCAAGCAAGCGGUGGGUGUGAGUGUACACCCAUUAAGCGCCAUUUUAUAGGCCGCAACCUUAUACCCACCUUAUAGAUCGGCUUCGUGAAUGAGGCCUACUAACGGUAAGACUAGCAUUUAGUUAUACAUAUAUAUAUUAUUCUAGUAAUAUCAUAUUAGUAUAGGGUUGUAUUUUAAAACUUUUAAAAUCUAGGGUUUGAAAUUUAAGUUGUCUAAAUUAAAACUUUUAAUCACAAAAGUAAAUUUCAAAACAUGAGGGUAGGUUUUAAACAUUUAAAACAUGGAGGAUCAAAUAACAAAUAAUUCCAAUUAACAAUUAAUAUCCUAAUUAUCUAUAUUUGAUUUAUUCAAGAUUUCUUUUAAAGAUAAUUACCAAAAUAAUCAAAAUAAUUAAUUAAUUAUCAUAUAAGGAAAUUAAAUAUUUAAUUAGUUGAUAAUUACCUUUAACUAGAUCAAGAUAAUAGUUAUAUUUAUCAGAAAAACGAAUUAAUGUUGAUCUAAUUAGUUUAUGGUAAGUUAAGAUAAGAUAAACACAAAGAAAUCCCGAAUCUGGCCAUUCCUGACGCCUGGACUCGCCGAGUGCACAAAUGGACUCGCCGAGUCAGGCCUACUCGCCGAGUCCACUUUGAGACUCGCCGAGUCCAUGACUCAGAAACCAAAAAUUCGAAUUUUGCAGGUUUGUUUCAGUUAAUCAAGCAACAAUUUACAGAAAACCAAGCUAGGCUCUGAUACCACUGAUGGGUUUUAGCCAUAAGAACUUUCCUAUGUGCGCAUGCAAAACCCUAAUGCUUGGAUCUAGGCUUUCUAAUAAACAUGCUUUGAAUCCAAGACUUCUAAUUACUAAUUAGGUUAAACAAGAACAUUAAAACAGAUCUAGAAUCAUACCUUUGAGUUCCUUGUUGAUCUUGAGGUCUUGGAGCUUCUAGAGUCACAAAUGUCACUCCUCUAAUGGCUUACAAACACCAAAGCAAGGAGGAUGAUUUGGGAGAGAGGAGAGGGGAGGAAUUUCGACCAGAGGUUCCUUACUUUAGGUCAAGUGUCGAAUUCCAUCAGCCAUGGGGUCUAUUUAUACUUGUAGACUCCUUAAGGAUUACAGAUAAGUCCCUAUCAGAUAAUCUUCUCUUAAGGCUAUCCAAAUCCAUUCCUAGAUAACUCUAAUGGACGAUUUUAGCUAUCCUAAUCCUCUUAGAAUUCGUCCAUAGUAUAUCCAAAUGGAUUUACAGUUUAAAGCUUAACUAUCAAACAAUUGACAGUUUAUACCCCUUUAUUUAAUUAAUCUCUUUAAGUCACCAAAUUAAUUCUAAUUAAUUCUAUGACUUAUAUUAAUCAAAUAACAAAUAUAUUAUUCAUUAUAUUAUUCCCAUAAUAUAUUAAUAAUAUUUAUUCUCUCUUAAUAAAUCAUCCUAUCAAGUUGCUAUGGUGAAGGCAACCCAAAAGGACCAUGCACAACCGGAUAUAGUUACAGCCUUAGACACUAUUCCAACAGUCUCCCACUUGGAUAAGUCUAGUAACUAUACAAGUACAAUUCGGUUUGCAAUCGUAGCUCUCAAAGACGCUGUCAACUCUGAUCUAAUCAAUCUUGUCCUUUAGAUAAGGGAACGUACAGUCCUCUGUUAGAUAUCAUGCUGACAAUCCUAUGGAAUGGUUAGUCAAGCAUUUAGGUUUCUCGAUCUCUGAUUUAUUUGACAUAGAACUUAAUCGAACACAUCAAUUCAGUUCUGACCGGGCCCGGCACAUAAGUCAAAUCAAAUCAUCGAGCGGCCGAGAUAUCGCUUUUACCUUCUUAGAUAAAAGUUACAGAUAAACUUCGACUUAUAUGCAUUUACUUAUUCAUUAACCAACUAUACACAACAAUACGUUUUAUAACACCAAGUUACUGAUGCGUUUUCGUAUUAUCAAUGUACAAUCAAUUAACAAAUAAUAAACCAUAUAUCUAGGUUUUAAGACUAUAUGAUAUUAUCGUCUUGCGAUCACCUUUUAUAUCGUAUUCCAUAAGGUGAUUCCAGCAAGCGCGGGUUUAUUCCAAUGCUCAAAACUAGUUCAUAAGCACUCAUGAACGUUGCAGCAAUCCUUUGCUAUGUCUAACACCAUUUAGACAUUCUACACACCAAUUCAUGACAAUCUUCUUUCAUAUCUACUCCCAACAUAUGAACGAUUGUGGACCAUUUGAAUAAUUCGAUUAUUCCUAAUAAACUCAAUUAUUCUGGAAGUCAAAACAUGCAAAGUGAAACAAUAGCUAAACAAUUAACAUAAGAUAGUAACAUUACUCAUAAAUAAAACUCCUUUAUUUAAUCAUCAAAUGUCAAUUACAUUUAUCUAUUACACGUUUCUAAUACUAUCUAAUCUAUGCUAAUAUCAUCCUUCAGCCCAAUACUCCUAGCAUGCUGCAAGUGCUUAACCCUACUCAGUCCCUUCGUAAGCGGAUCUGCUGGGUUAUCUUCUGAUGAUAUCCUCUUCACUACGAGUUGUCCUUCUUCUACACGAUGUCUAAUGAAGUGAUACUUUCUGUCGAUAUGUCUUGAUCUACCAUGAUCCCUCGGUUCCUUGGUUAAGGCAACCGCACCUUCGUUAUCACAGAAAAUCUCCAUUGGCUCCUUUAUGGCAGGUACGACUCCAAGAUCACCGAUGAAGUUCUUUAGCCAUAUUGCCUCCUUCGACGCUUCGCUCGCUGCAAUGUACUCUGAUUCGCACGUUGAAUCAGCUACGGUUUCCUGCUUGGAACUCUUCCAUGUCACUGCUCCUCCAUUUAGGGUAAAGACCCAGCCCGACUGCGAACGGUAGUUGUCCCUGUCGGUCUGAAAACUGGCGUCACUAUACCCUCGCACCUUCAAGUCAUCACUCCCUCCGAGGACUAAGAACCAUUCCUUCGUCCUCCGAAGGUACUUAACCGCAAUCCAAUGGGCUCUACUAGGAUUCCCUUGGUAUCUGCUAACCAUGCUCAAAGCAAAGGCUACAUCAGGGCGAGUACAAGUCAUAGCGUACAUGAUUGAGCCAACUGCGGAAGCGUAUGGUACUCGGCUCAUUUCUGCUAUUUCAGCUUCGGUACUCGGACUUUGAGUCUUACUCAAUUUGGCAUUACUUUGUAUCNAUUCUCCCUUCUUCGAGUUUUCCAUACUAAAACGUUUUAGUACCUUAUCUAAGUAAGUGUUCUGACUAAGUCCUAUUAGUCUCUUACUUCUCUCUCUUACUAUCCUUAUUCCCAAAAUAUAGGAAGCCUCUCUGAGGUCCUUCAUAUUGAAGCACUUCCCGAGCAAGGACUUAACCUCCUGAAGAGUCGGGACGUCGUUUCCUAUGAGAAGUAUGUCAUCAACAUACAGAACGAGGAUGCUCACUAUACUCCCACUGGCUUUGACACAUACACAUGAUUCAUCAUCGCUUCGUACAAAUCCAAACUCUUUGACUUUCUCAUCGAAGCAAAGAUUCCAUCUUCGAGACGCUUGCUUAAGUCCAUAAAUGGACUUCUCAAGCUUACACACUCUAUUCGGAUGCUUCGGAUCCACAAACCCCUCUGGCUGAGCCAUGUAAACAUCCUCAGCCAACUUUCCGUUAAGGAAAGCGGUCUUGACAUCCAUUUGCCAAAUCUCAUAAUCAUGAAAUGCGGCAAUAGCUAGCAUCACUCUAAUAGAUUUUAUCUUCGCAAAUGGUGAGAAGGUCUCAUCGUAGUCAACUCCGGGAGUUUGAGUAAAGCCCUUCGCAACCAAUCACACUUUAUAUGUGUGUACUUUUCCAUCCACGUCGGUCUUCUUCUUGAAGAUCCAUUUGCACCCAACGGUCUUACGUUCGGGCACAUUAUCAACCAAAUUCCAAACUUGGUUGUCAUACAUGGACUGGAUCUAGCUGUCCAUCGCCUCUUUCCAUUUUACAGACUCCGGGUCUGUCAUGGCUUCCUUAUAGCUAUUAGGUUCAUCAAGAUUUAUUAGUGUACCAUCACUAAUAUAUGUGUCCCUUCAGUAAUAAUAUGAAAAACACAAAACUGGGGUUGAACUCUAACAUUUUUGGAACGUCUAAGAGGUAAGGACUCGUCAAUCAGUUCAACCGGAGUUUCCUCCUCAGGUAGAGCGCCAGCGGUAGAGGUUCCUUCAUCUAUCGACUCUUGAAUCUCUUCAAGCUCGAUUUGCCUCCCACUAUCUCCUUGGCUUAUGAGUUCUCGUUCUCGGAAAACUCCUCUCCUCGCAAAAAAGACAACAUUGUCCUUCGGUCUAUAGAAGAGAUAUCCAAAGGAUUUCUGCAGAUAGCCAAUGAAAAUACAUUGCUCACUACGAGGUUCGAGCUUGUCGUGAGUAUCUCGUCUUACGAAAGCCUCACAACCCCAAACCUUGAUAUGUGCCAACAAGGGAGCUUUCCCUAUCCACAUCUCGUGAGGUGUUUUGGCAACCUUCUUAGUAGGGACUCGGUUAAGGAUAUGGGCGGCAGUCUCUAAGGCAUACCCCCAAAAAGAGAUAGGUAGUGAAGCACGACUCAUCAUAGAGCGAACCAUAUCCAAUAAGGUUCGAUUACGCCUUUCUGCCACACCAUUCAACUGCGGUGUCCUAGGAGGCGUCAAUUGUGAAACUAUUCCACACUCCUUGAGAUAAUCGUGGAAUUCAAGACUUAGGUACUCUCCUCCUCGAUCGGAUCGAAGCAUCUUGAUUUUCCUGCCCAAUUGAUUCUCC
This 9617-nucleotide long non-coding RNA is filed under the name Lactuca sativa (garden lettuce). RNAcentral describes it as "long non-coding RNA (LSAT_LNC001236)". The record is from RNAcentral. Lineage: Eukaryota; Viridiplantae; Streptophyta; Magnoliopsida; Asterales; Asteraceae.